UCUCCAGCUGUUUUUGGACUACAACUCCCAUCACUGGUCCUGCUAGAUAGGGAUGAUGGGAGUUGUAGUCCAAAAACAGCUGGAGA
Molecule: non-coding RNA, 86 nt
Organism: Podarcis lilfordi (Lilford's wall lizard)
Lineage: Eukaryota; Metazoa; Chordata; Lepidosauria; Squamata; Lacertidae
Source: the annotation of a GenBank genome assembly